Ooceraea biroi (clonal raider ant) is the source of this 388-nucleotide long non-coding RNA. RefSeq lists it as uncharacterized. NCBI's taxonomy places the organism in Eukaryota, Metazoa, Arthropoda, Insecta, Hymenoptera, Formicidae. The record is from RefSeq and is a predicted model, not a curated record.
UACUGCGCAACAACGCGGCCGGUGCGACGCGCGGGGACUCUCGAGAAGCUUCCUCGGCGGCUGCGGCGUCGCGCGCGCGCGGCUAUAUAAGGCGGCCGGCCGGCCAGCCUCGGCGCAUUCGUAAACAAACCCUGGUUCAGUUCGGACGCAGCGAACACCCGAAGACCCCCUUCACCCCCACCAUCAGUGUUGACACACUUCGACUUCUUGUUUCGUCGAGACCGCCGGCACGGGAAAAUGUAGGCGAGCGGGCACUAGGUGCGGAGCGCGACAGUUUACCUGCACCCUGCGGGGUCGGUGCUUGAACAAUCCGUACGCGACGACAACAGGCGUAAUUAGAAUUUGAAAUUCCGUCACACUUUGAACUGAUAUGAGAAGAGAACCUCAA